This 514-nucleotide ribosomal RNA is filed under the name uncultured bacterium. RNAcentral's name for it is "bacterial SSU rRNA". It matches the Rfam family "Bacterial small subunit ribosomal RNA", at positions 18 to 518 of the family's 1533-position model. The record is from RNAcentral.
UCUGGUUCAGGAUGAACGCUAGCUACAGGCUUAACACAUGCAAGUCGAGGGGCAGCAUGAUCGAAGCUUGCUUUGAUUGAUGGCGACCGGCGCACGGGUGAGUAACGCGUAUCCAACCUUCCCUAUAGUAGAGAAUAGCCCGGCGAAAGUCGGAUUAAUGCUCUAUGUUGUAUUUUAGAAGACAUCUGAAGAAUACCAAAGGUUUACCGCUAUAGGAUGGGGAUGCGUCUGAUUAGGUAGUAGGCGGGGUAACGGCCCACCUAGCCGACGAUCAGUAGGGGUUCUGAGAGGAAGGUCCCCCACAUUGGAACUGAGACACGGUCCAAACUCCUACGGGAGGCAGCAAUGAGGAAUAUUGGUCAAUGGACGGAAGUCUGAACCAGCCAAAAGUAGCGUGCAGGAUGACGGCCCUAUGGGUUGUAAACUGCUUUUAUAUAGGGAUAAAGUCGGGGACGUGUCCCCGUUUGUAGGUACUAUAUGAAUAAGGACCGGCUAAUUCCGUGCCAGCCGCCGC